UACGUAGGGCGCAAGCGUUAUCCGGAAUUAUUGGGCGUAAAGAGCUCGUAGGCGGUUUGUCGCGUCUGCUGUGAAAACCCGAGGCUCAACCUCGGGCCUGCAGUGGGUACGGGCAGACUAGAGUGCGGUAGGGGAGAUUGGAAUUCCUGGUGUAGCGGUGGAAUGCCCAGAUAUCAGGAGGAACACCGAUGGCGAAGGCAGAUCUCUGGGCCGUAACUGACGCUGAGGAGCGGAAGCGUGGGGAGCGAACAGG
RNAcentral lists this ribosomal RNA (253 nucleotides) under uncultured bacterium. RNAcentral's name for it is "partial 16S ribosomal RNA". It matches the Rfam family "Bacterial small subunit ribosomal RNA", at positions 524 to 776 of the family's 1533-position model. The record is from RNAcentral.